This is a long non-coding RNA of Felis catus (domestic cat), 970 nucleotides long. RefSeq lists it as uncharacterized. The record is from RefSeq and is a predicted model, not a curated record. NCBI's taxonomy places the organism in Eukaryota, Metazoa, Chordata, Mammalia, Carnivora, Felidae. The transcript is spliced from 2 exons.
GUCUGCUGGUACAUUUUAUGCUCUCAGCUUUUGUGACAUCAUCAGACUUCGGACGAGGGCCCCGGAGAAAGGCCCUCCAGCUGCGCGUGGCCAGGUGGAAAGGCAGCCACCUGGGACACAGGGUCGGGUGAGAUGGCUGUGAGCAGCGCACAACUGUGACCCUGGCUGGAUGCCACACUGGCGCUGUGAAUGUGAUGGAUGAAGAAGGGAGAGGAAAGGAAGGGAGGCUGCUAAUGCCACACAACAGUGGAAAUGACAAGAAGCCUCACACACAGGACGAAAGGAGUCAAAGAAUACGAGCUUCUCCCCGAGGGAAAGAAGACAACAGAAAAGACUAGUAUUUAUGACAGAAGUUUUAAUGGACAAUCUCUACUAAUCGAGACUGUGGAUUUAGCAUAUGCUCUCCAUCUCUUCUGCAACCCAGGUGAACUAAUGUCCACAUUGUCCUGGAUGCUCCAGGUGAACAGGCUACUGUGUAGAAUGUUCAUUAGACAAUAGUAUCUGCUUCUCAGGAAGUUGGCAGUGUUUGUAUCCAGACUGGUUUACUCCGUCUAUACGUGCUAGUGUAAUCAUGUGAUUUAAUUAACUAUUCUGUAAACCAAUACCAUCGAAGCGCAAAAAGAAGGUUAUUCUUGCUAAGAAAACUAAGUGGGAUGCUUUGGAAAGAUUCGAGAUUCCGAUUUCCUUAAAAAUGCCACAUAGUUAGGAUCGGUGAGGCAAAUUUAAGAGGCUGGAAUACAUAACAAAAGUCUAGAAAGAUCCCGUAGCCAGAUUACUUCCCAGACAUCAAAGUUCUUAUUGAUGUUAAAUAAGGAUGGAAUUUAUAGAUGUUCUACUAUAGGAGAGGUCUGUGCUGGUAAAAGUAUGACCCUUAAUCAGAAAAAGAUCUUCCCCCCUCUAUCAGGACAUUUGCAAACCAAUGUGUGUGCAUAUAUUCUACAUUAAAAUAAAAUGUAUCUUUUUGUUCUUA